This is a long non-coding RNA of Carassius auratus (goldfish), 423 nucleotides long. RefSeq lists it as uncharacterized. The record is from RefSeq and is a predicted model, not a curated record. NCBI's taxonomy places the organism in Eukaryota, Metazoa, Chordata, Actinopteri, Cypriniformes, Cyprinidae. The transcript has 4 exons.
GAUUUUUAGGGAUUAGUUCUUGAUCACGCUAUGGGACGUCCCAAAUUAAGUAAGCUACUAUUAAAGGAGGGUGUUACACUUUUCUUUUUGCUACGGAUUAAAUGUUGAAGUGCUCUGCUGGAUUUAGACGAAAAGUGUUUUGUGGACAUUGCUUUAAUUUAUCAUUGUGGAUCUUAGAGCUAAUAAUACGGUGCUUAUUCAAAAGAAGGGAACACUAGAAGAGACAAAUGGAGAGGAGGAGGGAUGAACAUUCACAAGCCAGCGGAUCAAAACCAGCAAAUGUGGAGAAUCUUAUUAAAAGGAGGAGUAUGAGUCAACCUCGGUAUCUGAAAUUCUCUCAUGAUGCAGACAGACAUCUCGAUGUAUCAGAAUCAAAGACGAGCAGAUCAUCUGAACACCAACCAGACAAAACUCUGUGAAUCU